Non-coding RNA from Paramuricea clavata, 449 nucleotides. NCBI's taxonomy places the organism in Eukaryota, Metazoa, Cnidaria, Anthozoa, Malacalcyonacea, Plexauridae. The record is from the annotation of a GenBank genome assembly.
GGGGGGGGGCAGUUGCAUUCAGAAUUAUUUAUUCGGUUAUGUGUAUCAAGGUUUGUCAUAUAAAGGUUUAGUACUUUUAAUAACUUUUUAUCGUAUUAGCUAAAAUUGGCCAUUUUUUCCCGACGGAAAAUUUAUAUUGGCCAAUCAUAUUUUACGAAAUGUUCUUUCUGCGGAAAAUUUUCUUAAGCGGAAAUGGGCCUUUAUGUUAACAUAGUGAAAAUGGGCCUUUAUGCCUGCCUUGUCGCCAUGCAGGCGCGAUAUAUAAAAGUCUUGAACUGCCUGCAGUGUAGGUAGAGAUGCAACUACCUGAAAAAUAUAAGGAGAAUUUAGACGUUUCGAGGGAAGGCCCUUCGUCUGGAGUUACUAGCGUUUACUAAGGUUUACAUGAAGUAUUAGCGUGUCGUUGGCAUGCGUGCUGAGAGCGAGACGAUGUUCUGAUUUGGACGUGG